GAUAAAUAUUUCAGGUCUGCAAUUGAAAGUCAUUCUACAAAUUCUAAAGCAAUCGAAGAGGUGUUUGAAGGAAAGAAGGAUGAGUUUCUGCAUAAACACGUGCAUGUGUUGCAUGUGUAAAACUGUGCAGUGCACUUGCAAAUGAUGCACUGAGAGCUAAGUAAUCAUGCAACCUCGUGCUAAAAAGAAAAAAAGUAUGCUUGUUCUCCUUGCAAACACCUUGUUUCAGAGCAGCAAACCACAAAACCACUACAGCGUGUAAAAGCGAUGUAAUUGUACUCCGUGCUUCUAAAAAGACAACAAUAGAGGAACUGUGCAAUUUGCUUCCUGUCUGUUUAACUUUUGUAAAUCAUUUGUAACUCGACUGGGAGCAGAGAAUGCCAAGAGCAGGAGUUCGUAGAGUGAAAUCGAAGAGAAAUCCACACACACACGAACCGGCUCGCGGAGGGAAGAUGAAGAGGAAGUGCACAGCACAUUGUUGUGAAAAUGAAACAAGUCUAAAGAGAUGCAGCCGAACCUCCAUCUGUCAGUUAUCGUCAUCUUCAGGCCAUGAUCAGUUCCAUGAUACCCCACACUCCGCUAAUGUCUAAAGGAAAAGUGUGAGUCGUUUCUGAAUGCUGACAAGCUGGUGAAAAACAGCCUCCUCCUUCUCGUCCUCCUGCUGAACAUCUGUCUCUGCAGCACUGGAGCUCCUCCACUGAUGCCCACAGAUGGGACUCACAGUAGGAGCCCAUAGCCAAAUGAACCAAAAG
This is a non-coding RNA of Danio rerio (zebrafish), 752 nucleotides long. Lineage: Eukaryota; Metazoa; Chordata; Actinopteri; Cypriniformes; Danionidae. The record is from RefSeq and is a predicted model, not a curated record.